GCCUGAGGCUGAGCCAUGCAACGGGCUGCCACUCACACAGAUACUAUUACCAUUAACAACAACCAGACUGAUAAGGCCUGAGGCUGAGCCAUGCAACGGGCUGCCACUCACACAUGAUAAGUCGACAACCCGUCCCUCCCCCAUUUAGAGGGUUAUAAUAUCCCAGACCCCCCCAGGUUAGGGUUAUAAUAUCCCAGACCCCCCAGGUUAGGGUUAUAAUAUCCCAUCCCCCCCCAGGUUAGGGUUAUAAUAUCCCAGUCCCCCCAGGUUAGGGUUAUAAUAUCCCAGUCCCCCCCAGGUUAGGGUUAUGAUAUCCCAGUCCCCCCAGGUUAGGGUUAUAAUAUCCCAGUCCCCCCAGGUUAGGGUUAUAAUAUCCCAGUCCCCCCCCAGGUUAGGGUUAUAAUAUCCCAGUCCCCCCCCAGGUUAGGGUUAUAAUAUCCCAGUCCCCCCAGGUUAGGGUUAUAAUAUCCCAGUCCCCCCCAGGUUAGGGUUAUAAUAUCCCAGUCCCCCAGGUUAGGGUUAUAAUAUCCCAGUCCCCCCAGGUUAGGGUUAUAAUAUCCCAGUCCCCCC
This 570-nucleotide long non-coding RNA is filed under the name Salmo salar (Atlantic salmon). RNAcentral describes it as "lncRNA (ENSSSAG00000084405.1)". Lineage: Eukaryota; Metazoa; Chordata; Actinopteri; Salmoniformes; Salmonidae. The record is from RNAcentral.